UACGUAGGGGGCGAGCGUUGUCCGGAUUUAUUGGGCGUAAAGAGCUCGUAGGCGGCUUGGCAAGUCGGGUGUGAAACCUCCAGCUCACCUGGAGACGCCACUCGAUACUGCCAUGGCUAGAGUCCGGUAGGGGACCACGGAAUUCUGGGUGUAGCGGUGAAAUGCGCAGAUAUCAGGAGGAACACCGGUGGCGAAGGCGGUGGUCUGGGCCGGCACUGACGCUGAGGAGCGAAAGCGUGGGUAGCAAACAGG
RNAcentral lists this ribosomal RNA (252 nucleotides) under uncultured bacterium. Its description in RNAcentral is "partial 16S ribosomal RNA". It matches the Rfam family "Bacterial small subunit ribosomal RNA", at positions 524 to 776 of the family's 1533-position model. The record is from RNAcentral.